CAAACGACUCUCGGCAACGGAUAUCUCGGCUCACGCAUCGAUGAAGAACGUAGCAAAAUGCGAUACUUGGUGUGAAUUGCAGAAUCCCGUGAACCAUCGAGUUUUUGAACGCAAGUUGCGCCCGGAGCCAUUUGGUUGAGGGCACGUCUGCCUGGGCGUCACGA
RNAcentral lists this ribosomal RNA (164 nucleotides) under Erigeron wislizeni. RNAcentral describes it as "5.8S ribosomal RNA". It matches the Rfam family "5.8S ribosomal RNA". From Rfam's summary of the family: 5.8S ribosomal RNA (5.8S rRNA) is a component of the large subunit of the eukaryotic ribosome. It is transcribed by RNA polymerase I as part of the 45S precursor that also contains 18S and 28S rRNA. Lineage: Eukaryota; Viridiplantae; Streptophyta; Magnoliopsida; Asterales; Asteraceae. RNAcentral also lists the same sequence under 3 other names. The record is from RNAcentral.